Molecule: long non-coding RNA, 403 nt
Organism: Sceloporus undulatus (fence lizard)
Lineage: Eukaryota; Metazoa; Chordata; Lepidosauria; Squamata; Phrynosomatidae
Exons: 3
Source: RefSeq, a predicted model, not a curated record
GUGGUAAGUUCCCAGCUCAUGCUCUUGGCAACUGGAGACACAAUUCUCUUUGCUCCUUCUCUCUCCCUUCACUUCUUUCUUUCUUUCUUUCUUUCUUUCUUUCUUUCUUCCCUUCCUUUCCUUUUCCUUUCCUUUCCUUCCUUCUUUCCUCCUUUCGUUCUUUCUCUCUUUCUUUCAAGGUGGAAUUAUACAGCAGUGACCUGUCGGCUUGGACCUCUCAGCCAGGAAUGUGCUGAUUGCUAGAGAGACUCUGGCAACAGGACUGGCCCCCCACAUGAUGCCACAUGCAAAAAUCCUCCUGGACCGGCCCACCUCCGCAAACCUGUCAGUGAGAGAAAGAAAUUAUAGCAACACAACAUCCUUUGGUCAGUAAUGCUAGGAGCCAUCCUUCUGCAAACAGCUG